AGUGAACGCUGGCGGUAGGCCUAACACAUGCAGGUCGAACGGCAGCACAGGAGAGCUUGCUCUCUGGGUGGCGAGUGGCGGACGGGUGAGGAAUACAUCGGAAUCUACUUUUUCGUGGGGGAUGACGUAGGGAAACUUACGCUAAUACCGCAUACGACCUACGGGUGAAAGCAGGGGACCUUCGGGCCUUGCGCGAUUGAAUGAGCCGAUGUCGGAUUAGCUAGUUGGCGGGGUAAAGGCCCACCAAGGCGACGAUCCGUAGCUGGUCUGAGAGGAUGAGCAGCCACACUGGAACUGAGACACGGUCCAGAAUCCUACGGGAGGCAGCAGUGGGGAAUAUUGGACAAUGGGCGCAAGCCUGAUCCAGCCAUACCGCGUGGGUGAAGAAGGCCUUCGGGUUGUAAAGCCCUUUUGUUGGGAAAGAAAUCCAGCUGGCUAAUACCCGGUUGGGAUGACGGUACCCAAAGAAUAAGCACCGGCUAACUUCGUGCCAGCCGCCGCCGUAA
Molecule: ribosomal RNA, 506 nt
Filed under: uncultured bacterium
Lineage: Bacteria
Description: partial 16S ribosomal RNA
Rfam family: Bacterial small subunit ribosomal RNA
Source: RNAcentral